AGAUUGGUAUGUUCUCUCUUCUUCAAUACGCUGGUUCUUCUCAUUCUUCGCCGCCGAUUCAUCAUCCAAAACUGAUCCAUCAUCCAAACCCGAUUGGCUACGCUUAAGCUUAAACCUGGUGGAUUUUUUGUUUUGAAAGACAACCUUGCAAGAUCUGGUACUGGGACAGGUGUAAUCUCCCUAUUUUAUUUUAAUUAUAUUGUAUUUUUAUUAGAUUAUACAGUAAAGUUCAAUGUUUUGUGUUAUACCUUAGUGUUACAUGGUGAUACUUUUACCUAUUGUUUCUAAAUAGUGCACAUAAGACAGUUUGUACGAUUUUGAUGAAUGUUUGAAGUGGAAUAAAAUAAAAGUGGGAGCAAUCUGCUCAUCAAUCCAGGUAAUUUUUCUAAAUGUUUCUUUGGGUAAUCGACCGAGUAUCUCAGUAUUAUAAAUUGAUGGGGUUUAAUGGUUUCUUACAUCACCUUAUGUAAUUCUUCGUGUUCUUGCUUAUUAAGUUAGGACUUAGGGUUUUUGUGGAUUGUUGAUUGUUUAUAGGAUUAUUUGUGUGAAACUGUUGUAGGGUUGAUUUGAAAUUCUUUAUAUGUUGGGUGAAUUUAUGUCAAAUAACAAUGAUGGAGCAAAAAGUACGUCUGGUGGGAUGAGCUUGACUUUGGUAGGUCCUAAACAAUUUUGGUGGAGGUCUUGCUGGGAUCUUUUUUAUUUUCUUUAUGUUCUUGAAUGAGCUGUGUGUUUAUGAAUCGAACGUAACAAAACGGAAACUCCAGUUUCUUCUCUUUCUUCUGAAUCGAAUGUUGGUUUAGCUAAUUCAACAGACGAUCAAGUUCAACCACCAACACCUAAUGAAUAUGAUCAUCAACUAGAGCCAUAUGUAUUCAGAUGUUUGUCAUGCUUCAGCAUUUUAAUGCCCACAGGAAAUGGGUUUAAGUUAUUUCGCGGCUUUGGAAAUAAAAACAAUGAAGAAAAAAGUGAACUUUCUCUGAAGGAAGUGCCUUUAAAGAAAAGCUGGUUUUCGAACAUAUUUAAAUUGGAAAAGGUGGAGAAUAAUGUCACUGAUCUUAACGUUUCAGUAGCCGUUCAGAGUUUAGAUAUGAAAAAUAAUGCUGGUGGAGUCUCUUCUCUAUCUUCUAACCUAAAUCCGUCAAAUGCAAGAAGCUAACGCACAUAUCUCCAACGGUACAACAGAUUUGGAAAAAAGUCAACUUUCGUUAGAUAAAGUUUUAAGAGAGAGCAGCGGUCAGUAAAUUUAUUCAGAACAUAUAUUCGGUUCAAAUAAGAACCAAUAAAAAUCUAAUCAACGUGAAAACAAUAUAGUGUAUUAGUGAACACAUUAUUCGAGUGCAGUGACAUUUUCGUAAUUAACGUAAAACCAUGUGUAUUCAGUAUUCACCAGUGAAUACACUAUAUACAAAUGAAUCAAAUUUUGACUUGACGUGUUUUCACGCUACUUACGAAAUUGCCACUGAGUAAUAAAAGCUUCAUGGAACAGAUCUGACGGCCACAUGUGUGUGUGUGUGUGUGUGUCUGUUUUAGUAAACUUAUAUAAAAUCUACUUUGACUAUGUUUUAAGUCAAAUUACAUGACAAUGAUAUUUGACCAUGGUAUGAUUAUGAAGUUUCAGUUCAAGCACCAAAUGCUAUGCAUGAAGUUUCACAACACGUUGUUCAGAACAAUGUUGAAAUUCAUCUUGAAGAGCCUCUGACUGUCAACAAGGAUGUCUUAACAGACGGUCAACAAGUUAAUCUUCUCGAAGAUGUGAACAACAUUGAAUGGAUUAUAUUUGUUUAGCGUCUCUUAUUUCGCUGCAUGAACAGGACACGUUUUCUAACUUUCGCUCUCUAUGUGUUUAUUAGUUGUUCAUUGUUCUCAUGUCAUUGCUUUUGGAUUUUCGGGGAUGAUAACGUAGGUCAUCGCCGGUUUUCAGGUAAACGGGAGUGGAUAGUUUGUUGGCGUUGCUGAAAUGAUGGGGCUUGAUUUCUUAUACAGCCAUGUAACACAAGCCACCACCACAAUCUUGCACCUUAAUUCUCAUUAAGUUCAAUAGGAUGAAGACUCUUGGUUUCAAGUAGAAGGUUAUGUGCUUGCUAAAUUUUGUGCGUUUACCAAUGAAUCAACGUAUCGACUCAAUUUUUAUAGGAUCUGCUUAUGAGAAAAGGCCCGAUUUUUGGUUCCACUUUUGGCUCAAAUGGUUCUACCGCAUCUGCUACUUAUGAUGUUGUGACGAGUAGAGAGUUAUCCAACUCGGUUUGUUUUUAUUCUCCUCUGCGUAAUCAGGACAAACGGCAAGUGAUGACCUGUAUGAGGUUCAACUAACUAUACCAGUGGAAGGUUAUGAGUUGGAUAUACUCAUGUUCUCUUGGUGAUGGUGAACGGGAGUGGAUAGUUUGUUGGCGUUGCUGAAAUGAUGGGGCUUGAUUUCUUAUACAGCCAUGUAACACAAGACACCACCACAAUCUUGCACCUUAAUUCUCAUUAAGGAUUGAAGAUAUCGAUCGCAAGCAUAGAUGUUUGGAGUACUGAAGUACUAAAUCCUACCCGAAUAAUAGAGAUUAGAGAUGCUACUAACUUUUUUAGGCGAGAACAUGAGGUUGACUUUGAGUUUUGUAGUGUUAUAGCUCUUUUACUUUAUUAUUCCAGAGAUGAGCAACAAAUGGAGGUUAUCAGAAACCCUAAAACAAAAAAUCAAUAUCUGAAAACAGAUCGGUUCUUAGGGUUUCGCAUCGCAUCAUGGGCAGUCGCAAUACCAAUCCCAAUCGCAAUCGCAAUCGCAAGAAGAAACGUAAGAUGAGCCGUGCGGAAAGAACGUACGAGCGACAAGGAGAAUGCAGCAUCCCUUAUUGCGGACUACGACACCUCUCUGCCUAAAUACGAUAUUUCAGGCUAUACCUAUCUCACAUAUCCGUAUGUUAAUGAGUUUGAUGAUGACGCACGACUAUCUAUCAGCAUGGUUUUUGAGCUUAUGAGAACUAUUUACUCACGGAUAACGCCUACUCCAAAGAAAUUUAUGGAAUGGAGUGGGAGUUGGAUGUCAUUCUACUGUAAACUAUGUUCCUGUUUUGGCAUCGAUUAUCUGCAUCUAGAGGCUGCUUCCAAGGACGAUGUGGUUUUGAUGACUCGCAGAAUCCUGUGUUUAAGCACAAGACGAAGCUUAGCAGCAACGAUGAGGCUUUUGUACUCUCGAAGAAAGAGAUUAACAAGAUCUUACGUUUUGUUAUCUGCUCACCGCGGUUACCUCCUCAGACCACGCUUACUCGAUGGAAUGAGUAUCGGAUAUCAUUCUAUUCUAAAAUGUGUUCCUACUUUCGCGUUGAUUAUAAGCGUUUGGCAGCUGCUGAUACUACUUAGUUUUCAGCAAAUUACAACUUCACCAUGCAUGGUUGUUUUCUCUCAUCUGUUAAAAAACCGGAUUUUAUUUAAUAUGUAUUUGUGGUUGUAACGAAAGACUAUAAUUUAAAUGUC
RNAcentral lists this long non-coding RNA (3456 nucleotides) under Helianthus annuus (common sunflower). Lineage: Eukaryota; Viridiplantae; Streptophyta; Magnoliopsida; Asterales; Asteraceae. The record is from RNAcentral.